This 467-nucleotide ribosomal RNA is filed under the name uncultured bacterium. RNAcentral describes it as "partial 16S ribosomal RNA". It matches the Rfam family "Bacterial small subunit ribosomal RNA", at positions 28 to 506 of the family's 1533-position model. The record is from RNAcentral.
GACGAACGCUGGCGGCGUGCUUAACACAUGCAAGUCGAACGGAAAGGCCCUGCUUUUGUGGGGUGCUCGAGUGGCGAACGGGUGAGUAACACGUGAGUAACCUGCCCUUGACUUUGGGAUAACUUCAGGAAACUGGGGCUAAUACCGGAUAGGAGCUCCUGCUGCAUGGUGGGGGUUGGAAAGUUUCGGCGGUUGGGGAUGGACUCGCGGCUUAUCAGCUUGUUGGUGGGGUAGUGGCUUACCAAGGCUUUGACGGGUAGCCGGCCUGAGAGGGUGACCGGCCACAUUGGGACUGAGAUACGGCCCAGACUCCUACGGGAGGCAGCAGUGGGGAAUAUUGCACAAUGGGCGGAAGCCUGAUGCAGCAACGCCGCGUGCGGGAUGACGGCCUUCGGGUUGUAAACCGAUUUCGCCUGUGACGAAGCGUGAGGGAAGGUAAUGGGUAAAGAAGCACCGGCUAACUACGU